Molecule: ribosomal RNA, 1413 nt
Filed under: Salmonella enterica subsp. enterica serovar Agona
Lineage: Bacteria; Pseudomonadati; Pseudomonadota; Gammaproteobacteria; Enterobacterales; Enterobacteriaceae
Description: partial 23S ribosomal RNA
Rfam family: Bacterial large subunit ribosomal RNA
Source: RNAcentral
AAGGCGUAGUCGAUGGGAAACGGGUUAAUAUUCCCGUACUUGGUGUUACUGCGAAGGGGGGACGGAGAAGGCUAUGUUGGCCGGGCGACGGUUGUCCCGGUUUAAGCGUGUAGGUGUGUGUUCCAGGUAAAUCCGGUUCACUUUAACACUGAGGCGUGACGACGAGGCACUACGGUGCUGAAGCAACAAAUGCCCUGCUUCCAGGAAAAGCCUCUAAGCAUCAGGUAACAUCAAAUCGUACCCCAAACCGACACAGGUGGUCAGGUAGAGAAUACCAAGGCGCUUGAGAGAACUCGGGUGAAGGAACUAGGCAAAAUGGUGCCGUAACUUCGGGAGAAGGCACGCUGACACGUAGGUGAAGUGAUUUACUCAUGGAGCUGAAGUCAGUCGAAGAUACCAGCUGGCUGCAACUGUUUAUUAAAAACACAGCACUGUGCAAACACGAAAGUGGACGUAUACGGUGUGACGCCUGCCCGGUGCCGGAAGGUUAAUUGAUGGGGUCAGCGCAAGCGAAGCUCCUGAUCGAAGCCCCGGUAAACGGCGGCCGUAACUAUAACGGUCCUAAGGUAGCGAAAUUCCUUGUCGGGUAAGUUCCGACCUGCACGAAUGGCGUAAUGAUGGCCAGGCUGUCUCCACCCGAGACUCAGUGAAAUUGAACUCGCUGUGAAGAUGCAGUGUACCCGCGGCAAGACGGAAAGACCCCGUGAACCUUUACUAUAGCUUGACACUGAACAUUGAGCCUUGAUGUGUAGGAUAGGUGGGAGGCUUUGAAGUGUGGACGCCAGUCUGCAUGGAGCCGACCUUGAAAUACCACCCUUUAAUGUUUGAUGUUCUAACGUGGACCCGUAAUCCGGGUUGCGGACAGUGUCUGGUGGGUAGUUUGACUGGGGCGGUCUCCUCCUAAAGAGUAACGGAGGAGCACGAAGGUUGGCUAAUCCUGGUCGGACAUCAGGAGGUUAGUGCAAUGGCAUAAGCCAGCUUGACUGCGAGCGUGACGGCGCGAGCAGGUGCGAAAGCAGGUCAUAGUGAUCCGGUGGUUCUGAAUGGAAGGGCCAUCGCUCAACGGAUAAAAGGUACUCCGGGGAUAACAGGCUGAUACCGCCCAAGAGUUCAUAUCGACGGCGGUGUUUGGCACCUCGAUGUCGGCUCAUCACAUCCUGGGGCUGAAGUAGGUCCCAAGGGUAUGGCUGUUCGCCAUUUAAAGUGGUACGCGAGCUGGGUUUAGAACGUCGUGAGACAGUUCGGUCCCUAUCUGCCGUGGGCGCUGGAGAACUGAGGGGGGCUGCUCCUAGUACGAGAGGACCGGAGUGGACGCAUCACUGGUGUUCGGGUUGUCAUGCCAAUGGCACUGCCCGGUAGCUAAAUGCGGAAGAGAUAAGUGCUGAAAGCAUCUAAGCACGAAACUUGCCCCGA